Tarenaya hassleriana is the source of this 615-nucleotide long non-coding RNA. RefSeq lists it as uncharacterized. The transcript is spliced from 2 exons. Lineage: Eukaryota; Viridiplantae; Streptophyta; Magnoliopsida; Brassicales; Cleomaceae. The record is from RefSeq and is a predicted model, not a curated record.
AACCCUAACCCUAAUUUACCAUCACUUCACUCUCUCUCUCUCUCAUUUGUAUUUGCGGCGGCUCUUUACAGAAACGGUCGACGAUCGUCGUUCUCUCUGGCUUUUGUUCGCCUUUGUUCGCCGUUCUCUCCAUUAUCCGUUUGCAGAAGCGAAAUCGAUCAUCGUUCACGUGUUUGCUGUUGCGAGUCUCCUUCUCUUUGCGAAAACGAUCGCCCUCGGUCUGUCCUUCUCCGCCUUGCGCCUCCUUCGUCAUUCGCCGGAGAUUCAGAUAGUGCGGAAAACAUUUGUAACCGAAGACGGAGUGAGGAAAGAGCCGAAGCAAGUUGCUAGGGAGAUACUCUCAUUCUUCACACGCAUCAAUUUCCAAGUCAAUGAUCGAGAAGAGACGACCGCGUAGAGGGCCCUGUUUACGUAAAAUCUGGUGAAAUUUCUCAGGAAAAAUUGUGAAUUUGGACAUGAAUCUCAUGUGGGUUUGCAUCUAACCCAUUUAGGUUUGAGGGAAUGAUGAUUCCAAACAGAUCCAUGUUUAAAUUUUACUCAUGAAUCAUGAUAUAUUUUGGAUUUUAUUCAAUUGUAUUUUGGAUAUAUUUUGGAGUAUGGAUUUUAUGUUAUUGA